Molecule: ribosomal RNA, 253 nt
Filed under: uncultured bacterium
Lineage: Bacteria
Description: partial 16S ribosomal RNA
Rfam family: Bacterial small subunit ribosomal RNA
Source: RNAcentral
UACGGAGGGUGCAAACGUUGUCCGGAAUCACUGGGCGUAAAGCGCAUGUAGGUGGCUAUGUAAGUGGGCGAUUAAAUCCCGAUGCUUAACAUCGGAACCGUUGCCUAUACUGCAUGGCUGGAGGAUAGCAGGGGUAAGCGGAACUUUAGGUGUAGGAGUGAAAUCCGUAGAUAUCUAAAGGAACACCAAUGGCGAAGGCAGCUUACUGGGCUAUUUCUGACACUGAGAUGCGAAAGCGUGGGGAGCGAACGGG